Molecule: transfer RNA, 100 nt
Filed under: Ceratocystis platani
Lineage: Eukaryota; Fungi; Ascomycota; Sordariomycetes; Microascales; Ceratocystidaceae
Also listed under: 1 other name
Rfam family: tRNA
About the family: Transfer RNA (tRNA) molecules are approximately 80 nucleotides in length. Their secondary structure includes four short double-helical elements and three loops (D, anti-codon, and T loops).
Source: Rfam by way of RNAcentral
UCCUCUGUGGCGCAAUUGGCUAGCGCGUCUGACUGUUAAGUAACUCGUUCUCGAGUCACAGCAUAUCAGGAGGUUGACAGUUCAAGCCUGUCCGGAGGAG